CCAGCGCUGUACUAUCCCUUCCAGCGCUGAUCGCGACCCGGUGCCCGCACCACCGUGCCGCACGAGCCCCGGAGAUCCGCACCUCCGGGGCUCACCUUUU
RNAcentral lists this small RNA (100 nucleotides) under Pseudomonas aeruginosa. Its description in RNAcentral is "ReaL". The record is from RNAcentral. Lineage: Bacteria; Pseudomonadati; Pseudomonadota; Gammaproteobacteria; Pseudomonadales; Pseudomonadaceae.